Molecule: long non-coding RNA, 2209 nt
Organism: Poecilia latipinna (sailfin molly)
Lineage: Eukaryota; Metazoa; Chordata; Actinopteri; Cyprinodontiformes; Poeciliidae
Exons: 3
Source: RefSeq, a predicted model, not a curated record
GAAAACAUUAAAGGGUUAACAGAGGAGCCAUGUUGAAUGACUUCCUGGAGGCGGAGCUUCUUGAAGAGGCAGACACCCAGUGUCAAGGCGUUAAAUCAGGAAUUUAAUUUUUUUUAGGUCAUAUUUGGUAUAUAGAUCAUUUUAUAACACCUGAAGGUAACACAGUUACUUCAUUGUGCUAUAAAAUGGGACAUUGUGACUAGAAAUCAUAACGCUGCCCCUGUAAUGCCUGAAUGCUUCGUGAAUAACCUUUACUGGGGGAAAUUUUCAGAAAAUUGCAGAAAUUAUAAUAAUUUUCCCUAAAUAGCGCCACCAGGAGCGGCUCUUUGCCCUCCUGCAUGUGGAGACAGCAAACAGCCUGGUGAUUACAGCUGGAGAGCUCUCCUGGUGAUGAGUGAUAAGCAGGCUGCAGCUCAUGUUUCAUUUUCUGUUGGUUUUGGUUAAUCAGCAGGAAAUCAGUUGAUUCAUGAUGGACCUAAUUAUUACUUAAUGGCUUCAUGUUUGAGCAGAUUCCUCCUGAGAAAUCACCGCUUCUACAUUUAGAGCGGUUUAUUAGAAAAGUGAUGAAAAUCUGUUUGUCUGUGGCUAUGAUUUAUGGUUUUAUUAGAGUUUCUGCAGGUUGUGGAGGAGGAUGUAACUUCACCAGGAUUCUGGAGACGUUUUUAGAUCAGAUGACGUUUCUUUACCUCCAUCAGACGAAACUCCCACUGAGAGCCAGACGAUCGAUAAUCUGAAUAUAUUCUGAGUUUCACUUCCAACUGCUGCUGUGGGGGUAGAGAACACACACACACACACACACACACACACACACACACACCAGACAUGUUGCUGCAGGCAGAUCUUCCCUGUGGUGAGGCCUUAAAGCAUUUCCUGUGCAACUGACAUGGAAACAGAACCCAGAACAUCAGGAACCAGAGACGAAGCUCAGCGCUAAUCUGUAUCUGUCCAUGUCCUGCUGCAGCAUGGAAACAUCCAGGAGAACCACUUCCUGCUGCAGCAGCAUGGAAACCUCCAGGAGAACCACUUCCUGCUGCAGCAGCAUGGAAACCUCCAGGAGAACCACUUCCUGCUGCAGCAUGGAAAGCUAGCUAGCUCCUGCUAGUUUUUAAUCUGUUUAGCAGUUUAAAAUUCACUGCCGCUAAGUGUUUUUAAAGUGUUUUGCAGUUUAGCGUUAACUUCUACUAAUUUUUAAGAUGUUUCGUGGUUUAGCGUCAGCAGAACUUAAGAUUUCUGGUUUGUGGACUAGUGGCUAUCGGCGCUAGCCUUUUGGCUAGCUGUGCUCACCACAGCUAAAAGCUGCUGUUGAUUUUAAUGUUGGAUCAGAAUGUCCUGCUGCAGCUGGAUUGGUCCAGUUGUUGCUCAGGUGACAUGUUUUUGGUUUUGUUCCCAAAGUUUUAGCUGAAAACAAAACAUGCAGUUUUACCGUUGAUGCAGAUGUUUAGCAGCUGGAUGUUUAUUUUGUUAGCUAAAUAUUUAGCAGGUGACUCUGCAGCAGUGAGUUCCUCACUGCGCUUUUUGAGCAAGGCUUAGUGUUGCGUCAUCCCGUCCUGCUGCAGCCCCCACCCCUCUCUCUCAUCAGAUUUUAUUUUUCUGCGCCGUUUCUGCAGGCUGAGUCAAAUCGCUCCAACUUUCUGCAAACUGAGCUGAAACUUUUCGUCCUCCAGACUGGCUGGCCUCUGCGUGAACUCGCAGCGCUGCAAUCCCGUUACUGCAGCGUGGAGAAGGGACGGGAACCGGAGGGAUGCCGUGGCAACGGGGCGAGUCUCAGAAGAUAAAAAUAAGCUCAUGUGGCUCUAAACCUCCAUGCAUGGAUUUCCACCAAGGAGAUCCCAGGCUUGUAGAACAGCACAGACAUGACAGCACUGUCUGCAGACUGGACUCCUCAUCUUCCUCGCUGCGUCCCUCUGGGUUUCCUCUCAGCCUUCAAGCGGCGCAGCGCUGCAGACUGGAAGUGAUUCAGAGGUUUUCUAAGGCUGGUUGGACACCUGAUGGGAGGAAUGAUCUGAGCAGAACAUGUUCAGGUUCAGGUGGAGCAGCGACUCCAGUUUGGGGCAACGAGCUGCAACAGAGAGUAAAGUAAAUGGAUGAAUUCUACGGAAGACCUGAAGUGCCUAUAGGGGAGCAUAAGAAAAUUGUGAUCAAUUUUCGGACAAAAAAAAAUAUUUCUUUUAUUUUUACAGGAAGCAACCAACAAAAUAUUCUUUUAAGU